This 339-nucleotide ribosomal RNA is filed under the name uncultured Pseudomonas sp. RNAcentral describes it as "bacterial SSU rRNA". It matches the Rfam family "Bacterial small subunit ribosomal RNA", at positions 1045 to 1382 of the family's 1533-position model. Lineage: Bacteria; Pseudomonadati; Pseudomonadota; Gammaproteobacteria; Pseudomonadales; Pseudomonadaceae. The record is from RNAcentral.
AUGGCUGUCGUCAGCUCCGUGUCGUGAGAUGUUGGGUUAAGUCCCGUAACGAGCGCAACCCUUGUCCUUAGUUACCAGCACGUUAUGGUGGGCACUCUAAGGAGACUGCCGGUGACAAACCGGAGGAAGGUGGGGAUGACGUCAAGUCAUCAUGGCCCUUACGGCCUGGGCUACACACGUGCUACAAUGGUCGGUACAAAGGGUUGCCAAGCCGCGAGGUGGAGCUAAUCCCAUAAAACCGAUCGUAGUCCGGAUCGCAGUCUGCAACUCGACUGCGUGAAGUCGGAAUCGCUAGUAAUCGUGAAUCAGAAUGUCACGGUGAAUACGUUCCCGGGCCUU